Molecule: small nuclear RNA, 105 nt
Organism: Bison bison bison
Lineage: Eukaryota; Metazoa; Chordata; Mammalia; Artiodactyla; Bovidae
Source: Ensembl
UUUCUCUUCGGCAGCACAUAUACUAAAAUUGGAAUGAUACAGAGAAGAUUGGCAUGGCCCCUACUCAAGGAUGUCAUGCAAAUUUGUGAAGUGUUCCAUAUUUGC